RNAcentral lists this unclassified non-coding RNA (300 nucleotides) under uncultured fungus. RNAcentral's name for it is "partial contains 5.8S ribosomal RNA, internal transcribed spacer 2, and large subunit ribosomal RNA". Lineage: Eukaryota; Fungi. The record is from RNAcentral.
AACGCACCUUGCGCUCUUUGGUUAUUCCGAAGAGCAUGCUUGUUUGAGUGUCGCGAACUUCUCAACCCCGCCUUAUCUUUGGAUAAGGUAGUCUGGGCUUGAAUCAUGGUCUCUUGCCAUUAACACUGGCUAGACUGAAAGAUAGGAAGCUGUAUGCGCUAAUAGUAACGGCUUGACCUGAUGUUGUAGUAUAAACUCAUCGGGGACGUUACUGACUGUUGCAAAGAGCUUUAAAGGCCCUCUUUUAAAAUACUAGUACAUAAUGACCUCAAAUCAAGUAGGACUACCCGCUGAACUUAA